Molecule: long non-coding RNA, 1327 nt
Filed under: Medicago truncatula (barrel medic)
Lineage: Eukaryota; Viridiplantae; Streptophyta; Magnoliopsida; Fabales; Fabaceae
Description: long non-coding RNA (MTRU_LNC001067)
Source: RNAcentral
UGGCAAUUAAAAAUUAUAUUAACAUUUAUAAAAUAAAUAGGUAAAACAUAAAAUAAUUUUUUUAUUUUUAAUUAACAACAUAAAUACAUAAAGGGGAUAAAAUUUUCUUCUUCAUAACUACCAUUCUUCUUCGUGAAUCUUCUUCUUCAUUGCAAAUCAUUUUUUGCAUCACUUUCUCUUCCAUCUAUUAAUUUGUUUUCCUUCUUUGCCUCGUAUGAAAUCGGAAAUCUCACUCAUUCCUUGUCAAAAUUUCACCUCACAUAUUCAAUCUAUCUUUCAUAUUGUUUUCAGAUGAGUGGUUUCUCCUCAUUCUUAACCCAAAUAUGAACCCAUUCAUCCCCACUAUUCACAGAAAGGAGAAAAUGCUCUAAUUUUCACAAAGAGGCUCCACUCAUCUCCCACCGUCGUGAACAACAACAACAACCUUCAUACUUAAAUCUGGCCUUUAAACACUUAUCUAACGUUCAAACUCAAAUUCAAAUUAUCAUACAAAAGAGAUGACUCUGUUGGAACCUGAAGCAUGAAUUUGUUGCUUUCUCAAAAUUUGGAUAUGAUUGAAAUGGGUUUGAUUUGGUUGAGGGGUUUAAAUGGGUUGGAUUGAAAGGGGAGAGGGGAAAUAUUGCAGAGAAGAAAAAGAAAUAGUGGUUUUGUUACGGAAAAAUUGGGGACCGAGAGAGUGAUUUUUUUUUGGAGAACAAGUUUUUUGUUGGAUGAUAAAUUAAGUUCUUCCGUCUUUCCCUGGCCUCCCCAACACACUCUUGAUACGAAAGAAACCUCCCGCCAUAGAAUAGAGAAGAAAGAGAUCUAAAGUUUGGGUCCCCUCGAUCACCCUUCCCUUGAACCUAAACUGGUCGAGAGAGAUGAACCCGCACCACAUUUGAUAACCUUCGAACUUAAACCCCCAACUAGAGAUGGAAUUCCAGAACCUAAACAACUUAAGAGAGAGCUCCGUGACCGGUUCAAUUCAAGGGAAGGUCCACCAAUAAUGGAAAGUCCAUUCCCCUCCCUAUCUGUUUCUUCUUUUUGUUCAUGUGGAUCUUGAUUUGAAUUAAGUUUAAGUUUAUUGUUGGGUUUUGUUCAUAUUCGAUGAUGAACUAAGUUCUUCCCUUUUUCCCAUUGAAAUCUUUCAUUAUUUUUGAUUGGAUUAUGAAUAAUUAGAUGAAUAUAUGUGAUAAGUUUUGGAUGAACAUUUGGGUUGAAGAUGAUGAUAUGCGUUACUGAUAAAUGUUUUGGAUGAAGAUCUUGAUUAAAAAAAAAAUUGGGUUGAUGAUGAAUGUUUAAUGUUUUUCUUUUGAUUUUGGUGGGUUUAAUGGUGAAUAUGAUGAAG